This 264-nucleotide unclassified non-coding RNA is filed under the name uncultured fungus. Its description in RNAcentral is "sequence contains ITS1, 5.8S rRNA gene". The stretch from base 216 to 264 matches the Rfam family "5.8S ribosomal RNA", at positions 1 to 49 of the family's 154-position model. Lineage: Eukaryota; Fungi. The record is from RNAcentral.
UUUCCGUAGGUGAACCUGCGGAAGGAUCAUUACUGGGUUCCAAGGCCUCGUGCCUACCACCCGCCCUCUGUCAUUUGCAACGGUAUUGCUUCGGCCGCUGGCUCCCCGGUGCCGGUGCUCCCUCUCGGGGGCGCCGCGCGGGGGGGUCACGGUCGGUCUUCCAAUCCUCCAAGGAAUUUAUGUCGUCUGAUGCACAAUGCAAAAACGAAAAGCAAAACUUUCAACAACGGAUCUCUUGGUUCUGGCAUCGAUGAAGAACGCAGC